This 708-nucleotide ribosomal RNA is filed under the name Galerucinae s.s. sp. JJG417. RNAcentral's name for it is "eukaryotic LSU rRNA". It matches the Rfam family "Eukaryotic large subunit ribosomal RNA", at positions 578 to 907 of the family's 3401-position model. The record is from RNAcentral. Lineage: Eukaryota; Metazoa; Arthropoda; Insecta; Coleoptera; Chrysomelidae.
GGAAAUUCAUUCGCGUUUCGAUCGUCGGCGAUGGGUGGACGAGUGACGGAUGGCGUUCGCGUCGUCUGCGCCGUUUAUUCAUUCGAACUGGCGUCGAACGCGUGCACUUUUCCCCUAGUAGGACGUCGCGAUCCGUUGGGUGUCGGUCUACGGCUCGAGGUGGAGCCCACGUGGUAGUUUCGGCUUUCGCGUGGACCCUCGGUGUCCCGGCCGACUCGCUCGACGGUAUAAUAAUGGCGCGAGGCCGCUACGUCAGUUAGCGUUCGGCUCGUGGCAAGCACGUUCGGUGUUUGACGGCGAUCGGACCUAGUGCCGGUCCUGUCCCCGAACGACUGUUGGCCGCGAUGUUCUCGAACAGACCUCGUUGAAACGCCGAUCUGCGACGCUAUAGCUUUGGGUACUUUCAGGACCCGUCUUGAAACACGGACCAAGGAGUCUAGCAUGUGCGCGAGUCAUUGGGACAUAACUAAACCUAAAGGCGUAAUGAAAGUAAAGGUCUGCCUUGCGUAGAUCGAGGGAAGAUGAGCGGUUUGCCCUUAAAGUGGCCGCUCCGCACUCCCGGGGCGUCUCGUUCUCAUUGCGAGAAGAGGCGCACCAAGAGCGUACACGCUGGGACCCGAAAGAUGGUGAACUAUGCCUGGUCAGGACGAAGUCAGGGGAAACCCUGAUGGAGGUCCGUAGCGAUUCUGACGUGCAAAUCGAUCGUCG